Molecule: ribosomal RNA, 1095 nt
Filed under: Candidatus Phytoplasma solani
Lineage: Bacteria; Bacillati; Mycoplasmatota; Mollicutes; Acholeplasmatales; Acholeplasmataceae
Description: bacterial SSU rRNA
Rfam family: Bacterial small subunit ribosomal RNA
Source: RNAcentral
GUUGGUGGGGUAAUGGCCUACCAAGACGAUGAUGUGUAGCCGGGCUGAGAGGUCGAACGGCCACAUUGGGACUGAGACACGGCCCAAACUCCUACGGGAGGCAGCAGUAAGGAAUUUUCGGCAAUGGAGGAAACUCUGACCGAGCAAUGCCGCGUGAACGAUGAAGUAUUUCGGUACGUAAAGUUCUUUUAUUAGGGAAGAAAAGAUGGUGGAAAAACCAUUAUGACGGUACCUAAUGAAUAAGCCCCGGCUAACUAUGUGCCAGCAGCCGCGGUAAUACAUAGGGGGCAAGCGUUAUCCGGAAUUAUUGGGCGUAAAGGGUGCGUAGGCGGUUAAAUAAGUUUAUGGUCUAAGUGCAACGCUCAACGUUGUGAUGCUAUAAAAACUGUUUAGCUAGAGUUGGAUAGAGGCAAGUGGAAUUCCGUGUGUAGUGGUAAAAUGCGUAAAUAUACGGAGGAACACCAGAAGCGAAGGCGGCUUGCUGGGUCUUAACUGACGCUGAGGCACGAAAGCGUGGGGAGCAAACAGGAUUAGAUACCCUGGUAGUCCACGCCCUAAACGAUGAGUACUAAACGUUGGAUAAAACCAGUGUUGAAGUUAACACAUUAAGUACUCCGCCUGAGUAGUACGUACGCAAGUAUGAAACUUAAAGGAAUUGACGGGACUCCGCACAAGCGGUGGAUCAUGUUGUUUAAUUCGAAGGUACCCGAAAAACCUCACCAGGUCUUGACAUGCUUUUGCAAAGCUGUAGAAAUACAGUGGAGGUUAUCAGAAGCACAGGUGGUGCAUGGUUGUCGUCAGCUCGUGUCGUGAGAUGUUGGGUUAAGUCCCGCAACGAGCGCAACCCUUGUUGUUAAUUGCCAUCAUUAAGUUGGGGACUUUAGCAAGACUGCCAAUGAUAAAUUGGAGGAAGGUGGGGACGACGUCAAAUCAUCAUGCCCCUUAUGACCUGGGCUACAAACGUGAUACAAUGGCUGUUACAAAGGGUAGCUAAAGCGUAAGCUUUUGGCGAAUCUCAAAAAAGCAGUCUCAGUUCGGAUUGAAGUCUGCAACUCGACUUCAUGAAGUUGGAAUCGCUAGUAAUCGCGAAUCAGC